UACGUAGGGGGCAAGCGUUGUCCGGAUUUAUUGGGCGUAAAGCGCGUGUAGGUGGCCAAGUAGGUCCGCUGUGAAAACUUGAUGCUCAACCUCAAGCUGUCGGUGGAAACCCCUUGGCUAGAGUCCGGAAGAGGAGAGUGGAAUUCCUGGUGUAGCGGUGAAAUGCGCAGAUAUCAGGAAGAACACCAAUGGCGAAGGCAGCUCUCUGGGACGGUACUGACACUGAGACGCGAAAGCGUGGGGAGCGAACAGG
This 253-nucleotide ribosomal RNA is filed under the name uncultured bacterium. RNAcentral's name for it is "partial 16S ribosomal RNA". It matches the Rfam family "Bacterial small subunit ribosomal RNA", at positions 524 to 776 of the family's 1533-position model. The record is from RNAcentral.